UCCUCCUCCUGAGCCUUCUCCUGUGUCCAUGUGAUAGGCCUCCUCCUCCUCCUCCUCCUGAGCCUUCUCCUCCUGUGUCCAUGUGAUAGGCCUCCUCCUCCUCCUCCUCCUUCUCCUCCCGUGUCCAUGUGAGAGGCUUCCUCCUCCUCCUCCUGAGCCUUCUCCUCCUGUGUCCAUGUGAUAGGCCUCCUCCUCCUCCUCCUGAGCCUUCUCCUCCUGUGUCCAUGUGAUAGGCCUCCUCCUCCUCCUCCUCCUCCUCCUCCUCCUCCUUCUCCUGUGUCCAUGUGAUAGGCCUCCUCCUCCUCCUCCUCCUCCUGAGCCUUCUCCUGUGUCCAUGUGAUAGGCCUCCUCCUCCUCCUCCUGAGCCUUCUCCUGUGUCCAUGUGAUAGGCCUCCUCCUCCUCCUCCUCCUCCUGAGCCUUCUCUUAUCUGUAGCCAGUUAGUAGUUGCUAAACAGCCUCGAAAGGACCAAGAGGUCUGUUUGUUUGGCUUUCUUCUUCAGAGGACGCCGCAGACCGCGGAGACGUGCUGUCCGGCACAGGUCCUGCCUCUGCUGAAGGGAGAACUAAACCAGCGUGUCCCAACAACCCCCAACCUGCUGCAGGAAACUGGCUCUUCUUGCAUUGGAAGACGGAAAGUCUCGCUGCGCCUUCCACGGUGGAAUUGGAUCCUGCCUCGCACCAGCUGCCAUGACACUUGUCAUCCAGGGAGAGAGGACAGCCUGCAUCUCUGCACAUUCCACGGAGGAAUUGGACCCUGCCGCACACCAGCUGGCAUGACAUGUGCCAUCCAGGGAGGAAGGACACACUGCAUUUCUGCACAUUCUACGGAAAAAUUGGACCUUGCUGACAACACGCGGCGUCAUCCAGGGAGGGAGGACAGACUGAGUUGCUGCAUCUAACCUAACAAAUACAUGUUGCCAAUCACUCUUAUGUUGUUAUUCCUUCCAUCUGAUGUGAAUGUUACUCAUAAAUGUAAUGUUAUUAUUCCUUCAUGUUCUGUGAUGUACCCACACAACUGGUGGUAGUUUUUAAUAAAUCAUGAUUAAGAAAACUGAAA
Molecule: RNA transcript, 1058 nt
Organism: Portunus trituberculatus (swimming crab)
Lineage: Eukaryota; Metazoa; Arthropoda; Malacostraca; Decapoda; Portunidae
Exons: 2
Source: RefSeq, a predicted model, not a curated record